This 158-nucleotide ribosomal RNA is filed under the name Diploastrea heliopora. RNAcentral describes it as "5.8S ribosomal RNA". It matches the Rfam family "5.8S ribosomal RNA". From Rfam's summary of the family: 5.8S ribosomal RNA (5.8S rRNA) is a component of the large subunit of the eukaryotic ribosome. It is transcribed by RNA polymerase I as part of the 45S precursor that also contains 18S and 28S rRNA. The record is from RNAcentral. Lineage: Eukaryota; Metazoa; Cnidaria; Anthozoa; Scleractinia; Diploastraeidae.
CAACUUUUGACGGUGGAUCUCUUGGCUCACGCAUCGAUGAAGAACGCAGCCAGCUGCGAUAAGUAGUGUGAAUUGCAGAAUUCAGUGAAUCAUCGAAUCUUUGAACGCAAAUGGCGCUNUUGGGUUCUCCCAGGAGCAUGUCUGUNUGAGUGUCGGAU